GGGUUGUGAGGUUAAGCGACUAAGCGUACACGGUGGAUGCCCUGGCAGUCAGAGGCGAUGAAGGACGUGCUAAUCUGCGAUAAGCGUCGGUAAGGUGAUAUGAACCGUUAUAACCGGCGAUUUCCGAAUGGGGAAACCCAGUGUGAUUCGUCACACUAUCAUUAACUGAAUCCAUAGGUUAAUGAGGCGAACCGGGGGAACUGAAACAUCUAAGUACCCCGAGGAAAAGAAAUCAACCGAGAUUCCCCCAGUAGCGGCGAGCGAACGGGGAGGAGCCCAGAGCCUGAAUCAGUGUGUGUGUUAGUGGAAGCGUCUGGAAAGGCGCGCGAUA
RNAcentral lists this ribosomal RNA (331 nucleotides) under Escherichia coli. RNAcentral describes it as "partial 23S ribosomal RNA". It matches the Rfam family "Bacterial large subunit ribosomal RNA", at positions 1 to 359 of the family's 2925-position model. RNAcentral also lists the same sequence under 1 other name. Lineage: Bacteria; Pseudomonadati; Pseudomonadota; Gammaproteobacteria; Enterobacterales; Enterobacteriaceae. The record is from RNAcentral.